Molecule: small nuclear RNA, 21 nt
Filed under: Arabidopsis thaliana (thale cress)
Lineage: Eukaryota; Viridiplantae; Streptophyta; Magnoliopsida; Brassicales; Brassicaceae
Description: snRNA_02707
Source: RNAcentral
GAUUAAACCCUUUCUCAUCCA